Molecule: ribosomal RNA, 274 nt
Filed under: uncultured bacterium
Lineage: Bacteria
Description: partial 16S ribosomal RNA
Rfam family: Bacterial small subunit ribosomal RNA
Source: RNAcentral
AUACGGAGGGUGCAAGCGUUGUUCGGAAUUACUGGGCGUAAAGCGCGUGCAGGCGGUAAGGUAAGUCAGAUGUGAAAGCCCCGGGCUCAACCCGGGAAGUGCAUUUGAUACUGCCUUUCUUGAGUAUGGGAGAGGAGAGUGGAAUUCCCAGUGUAGAGGUGAAAUUCGUAGAUAUUGGGAGGAACACCCGUGGCGAAGGCGACUCUCUGGACCAAUACUGACGCUGAGACGCGAAAGCGUGGGGAGCGAACAGGAUUAGAAACCCGGGUAGUCC